Molecule: ribosomal RNA, 253 nt
Filed under: uncultured bacterium
Lineage: Bacteria
Description: partial 16S ribosomal RNA
Rfam family: Bacterial small subunit ribosomal RNA
Source: RNAcentral
UACGUAGGGUGCGAGCGUUAAUCGGAAUUACUGGGCGUAAAGCGUGCGUAGGCGGCGCCGCAAGUCAGGCGUGAAAUCCCCGAGCUUAACUUGGGAAUGGCGCUUGAAACUACGGUGCUGGAGUGUGGCAGAGGGAGGUGGAAUUCCACGUGUAGCGGUGAAAUGCGUAGAGAUGUGGAGGAACACCGAUGGCGAAGGCAGCCUCCUGGGCCAACACUGACGCUCAUGCACGAAAGCGUGGGGAGCAAACAGG